GGAGCGGGCCCGCUGGCCGAGGAAGGAGACGCCCCGGGGGCAGAGCACGGGAGGCGGGGAAGUGCGGGGAGACGCUGAACAGGUCAGGGGAGGGUGAGGACGCCUCCCUGCCCGCGGCUGACGGCCGAGCGCUUAUGACAGAACCCACUUAGAUUGAUCAGAUUUGAGCAUCCAUGGAAUCCUCUCAGCCUGCCAACAGGAGCAGUCUCCAUUCCCACCCAUAAUGCCUCCAUGGUGGCACAAGGGGUUAAGAUGCAACCUAUGACGCUAUCUGCAGCCGCUGCAGCACAAGUUCGAUCCCCAGCCAGGGAGCUAGCAACAUGGUGCAGCAGACCUCUCCUGUCUCCCUGCUGCUCCCCUCAGUAGUGUGCUUUGGUCAGUCUGCCUGUUCCGUUCCGCACUCUGUCUCUGGUACAUUCCUUCUAUCCUGAGAAUUCCAAGAAAGCAAGCCCACAGGAGAAGGACACACCACAAAAAGAAAAAGUCACCAGAGCUCAACAAUAACAUGGAAGAACUCGGCCUGUCAGACAGAGAAUUAAUGAUCAUAAUGAUUAAAAAGUAGAAAGAAAACAAAGGAAAAAAAUGAUUUGAGACAAAUAGUCAAUGAACUGAAGAAUGAAGUUGAGACCUUAGGAAAGGAAAUAAAAGAAAUGCAGGAGAUUAAAAGAUUACUAGAGAUAAAGAACUCUGGGAAAAGCAAUGAAAACAGAAUCAAUGAAAUGGAAGAACAGAUUAGUACUCUCGAAGAUACAGAAAUUAAAAGAGCCAAAAGAGAAAAGGAGAGAGAAGUGCAAUGGAAGAGGUAUGAGGAUCUCUCCCACAAUUAUCAGACUCCAUGAAGAGAGGAAAUUUAAGAGUUAUAGGCAUUCCACAAGGUGGGGAGUGAGACAAAGGAACUGAGAAAUUAUUCAAGGAGCUAACUGAAGAAAACUUCCCAAGGUGUUAACACAUGUUUUGGACGUGAUCUGUGAUGUGUUUUAUAAGUUGAGAAAUUUAGCAUAAUUUACUUUUGAAAUCAUUCUUUGUAGUGCAUGCAAGAACAUUUAAAUAACACUCAAGGAUGCACAGAGAUGAGUCAUUCUCCCUCACCCCCCAGCACCCCAAUCAGCCAAUAUCUUCUCAAAACUAGUUCACUUUAUCAUUUUUCUUCUCAAAAAAAAAAUCCAUGGGGCCUACCCUGGUGGCACAGUGGUUGAGCCCUGGGCUGCGAAGCUGCCCGCAGUCUCUAUAGUGCCGUUUCAAUCCCCAGCCGCCAGCAAGGGUUCCACAUGGAGCACAGACCUCUCUUGCAGUGCCCACUGCUCCCCCCUCAGCAGGGUAUUACAUCAGUCUGCCUGUUCUGUUCCCCGCUCUGGCUCUGGUGAAUUCUCUCACCCUCCCGUGCUUCUGACUGUACCCAGUGCUUGUAUAAAUAAAUAAAUAAAUAAAUCUUUAAAAAAAAAUAAUCCACACUUCUGUCUGGACAAUAGUGUUUGUUUUCCUGUCACUACUGGAGUUCAGGACACAAAGUGGGAGAAACAUUACACAUCAUGAAUCUGAUAAAGGACUGUAUCUCAAAUUUACAAAAUAGCCAUUAAAACUCAGUAUCAGAAAGAAAUGAACCCAAUUUUAAGAAAAGACAAAAACAGUGAAUUAAAUCAAUGGUACUUCAGUAAAAAUGUGGAUGAAAGCCUUAAUAGAGAUUUCACCAAGAAGAGAUACAGAUGACAAGGAAGAACAUGAACAGAUGCUCAGCAUCACAGGGCACGAGGGAAAGACAGUUAAGAACAACACUGACGCCAUCACACCAAGGAGGAGGCUUAUAACGCAAACCCUGUGCAAUACCAGGUGCUGCCCAGGAUGUGGACAAUAGGAGCCUCAUCGCUGCUGGCAGGAAUGCAAAAUGGUGCGGUCACUGUGGGAGAUCUUUGACAGUUUCUUUGAAAGCUGAAAAGACACUGACCAUAAACCCAGUGAUCACUGCCCUGCUAGUUACCCAACUAAUUUUAAACUUAUAUUUGCACAAAAACCCUGCAUGCAUGUUAAGUGUUUGUAGCAGAACACCAGUAAGUGUGAAGAAAACUGGGAAACUCUACCUUAGUCUGGUGUUGAAGGUUAACACUAUCUGUGAUCUGUCAUGUAGGCAUGAUUGAGUGUUGAUUGAUGUGCACUUGACGUAUUGAGUGGACAAUGGCCUGCACAUCUGUGGUCUGCUUUCCCAAACCACAGCCCCACUCAAAGAAAAAAGAAACCACUAAAUUGAGGGAGUAUAUUCCUGAGCAGUACUCCUUGAUAAAGGUUGAGAGUAGAAAAUUUAGGAUGGAGGGGUCACAAGACCAGAAAGUGGAGGUGGUAGUAGAAUUAUUAACCCUGCUAUAGAAAUGAAAAAUGCUUAGGGCCAACCGCUAUAGGGAGCACCAACUACUCUAGAAAGGACCCAGAGGCACAGACCAGAGGUGGGAUAUGGGGAUGGAGCCACUGCAGAGAAUCACCUGUCCUUACAAAUGAAACUUGUCACAAUAUACAAGUAAUUCAUUUAAUGAUAGAUAACAAUCCGACAAAAGAUGAGCCCCUCCCAACUAGAGCACUACCUCAGUGCCCUUUCUGCCCCUGAAAGACGCAGCUCUAGUCCCAAGGCUGCCACCUGGGGCCUGCAGGCUUCUCUUAACACACCCGCCCUCUCCAGGGGCAGCUCCUCCUGCCUGCUUGUGCCUGUGCAAGCAUCUUCUUGUUCACCCCCACUCCUUUUUUAAAAUAUAAACCUUCUCUUUGGCAGAGACUAAAGGUCUCUGUCUUGUAGGAUACUCACUGUGUAUGUGUAAGGGCGACUCUGGUGAAACUUCUCAGAGGUGACCCAAGAACCCCUAUCUGUUGUGGAACCAAGCAUAAGUAUUCUUAGCCAUUGCUUUGUGUAACUGCCAUUUUAGAAUUUUAGGUUUUGCUGGGAAAAGACUGCAUUCCAGAGAUAGUUUGGACCCUCACUCCACCCUUACUCUCUGGUCACCAAUGAGGGUGAACUUGCUGUAAUUGGAGCUGCAGGUUGGAGCUGCAUCUUGGCCUGGCCAGUCAGCUUAGAAUGAUAGCCAGCAAAGUUGGAGAACGCAUCCUUGUAGCCAAUGAGUAAUUGCCAGCAUAAUUUAACCUUAUUAAAAGACCCCUGCUUCCUUUGUUCGGGGCUCUCGGUAUCUGCCACUGCACUGCGUUGGUAGAUGCCGUGAACCCGGACUCGAGUCUGAAAUAAACACCCUUUUGUGUUUGUGUCAGCUGUCUUUGGGUUCUUGGAGGCUAUGCUCGCCGAGUCUGCUUAGUCUGCUGACCUUGGGCACAACAUCUGUGAACUCAGUACCUCUCCAAAACAUCACUCCUCACCAAUGUCAGUGUUAUAAAAACAAGGAAAGUCAGAGAAACUGUCAGCCAGAGGCACAUCAAGGAGACCCGGUUGGAACUGAAUGAGGAUCAUGGAACAUAAAAUGUACAUUAGGAAAAACUAAUGAAAUUAAGCAUGGAGUUUGGUGAUUGUGUCAACAUUGUUUCAUUAGCUGUAAAAAAAAUAUUGACAACUUUAGUCAUGUAAGAUGUUAACAAAGUGGAGAUGGUGUGGGAUGAACAAGAACUGUACUACCUUUGCAACUUUUCUGUAAAUUUAACUGUAUUCUUAAAAUGUUAUUUUUUUUUAAUGUCCUCAAUACUAUAUAGGUUGUAGAAGGAAAAAAUUAUCUACUUUCCUGUUU
Molecule: long non-coding RNA, 3710 nt
Organism: Talpa occidentalis (Iberian mole)
Lineage: Eukaryota; Metazoa; Chordata; Mammalia; Eulipotyphla; Talpidae
Exons: 4
Source: RefSeq, a predicted model, not a curated record